RNA transcript from Malaclemys terrapin pileata, 5431 nucleotides. It is a transcript of the gene named TSC22 domain family member 1, with no coding region annotated. NCBI's taxonomy places the organism in Eukaryota, Metazoa, Chordata, Testudines, Emydidae. The record is from RefSeq and is a predicted model, not a curated record. The transcript has 5 exons.
AUCUGCCUUCGCCUGGCUGCUCCUAGGCGCCCCAGCCUGCCGCGCCGCGGAGCCCCCGAGACCCCCUCGCCGCUCCUCCGCACCCAGCCGCUCCCCCAGGGCCCCGCGGCGGGGAGGUCUGCUCUGCCGAGAGUCACCCCCCUCUAGCUACACACAGCUCGGUUGGGAGCCGGGGAGGGGGGCGGGCGGUUGCUUUCUGAGUUGGCCGGAUAACGUGGGUAAUUUCUUCCCCACCCCCCAGCACCCCGCCCCCCGGAGAAGAGGGAUAGGGGGGAGUGGAGAUCGGAGGGGAAAGUGAACGGCAAAGGAUUGAAAGUGUCACAUUCACUGGCUCUGAUCUGAAGGCGGCGGAGGGACCCGGCCUCACCCCCCAGCCCCCGAGAGGAGGAGGAGGAGGAAAAGGGGCGGUUUAGUGGCAGCGCCGGCUGUGCCGAGGCGUCUCAGCCUGUGCUGUGUGCGCCAGCCGGGAGAGGAGGGGGUUGUGUGUGGUGCCUCUCCCCUGGGUUGCAUGCAAAGCUAACUGUGUGGCUGUCUCUCUCCGGGCCGGGGGAUUGCACUCUUAAAAUAAACCCGGUACAAUGCACCAGCCUGACUCAGCCGCAGACAUUAGUCCUAGGAAGAUGGCGCACCCGGCAAUGUUUCCUAGAAGGGGCAGCGGCAGCAGCAGCGGCGGCAGCUGCGUUACUGCGCUCAAUGCACCAGGUACCGGCGCUGGUAGCGGUGCCCUCUCCACCGAGGAUUAUCCGCCGCCUCUGCUCAUCCAGCCGCCGCCUCCGUCUCUUGCAGCAUCUUCAUCGGCGGGUCCACAGCCGCCACCCCCUCCUCCACAAAGCCUGAAUCUCCUUGCCCAGUCUCAGCCUCUUGCACAGGCUGGAGCCCAAAUGAAAAAGAAAAGUGGCUUCCAAAUUACCAGCGUGACCCCUGCUCAGAUCUCUGCCAGUAUGAGCUCUAACAACAGCAUAGCGGAGGACACGGAAAGCUACGACGAUCUGGAUGAGUCCCACACUGAAGACCUGUCUUCUUCAGAAAUUUUGGAUGUUUCUUUAUCCAGGGCCACUGACUUGGGUGAACCUGAACGGAGCUCCUCCGAAGAGACUUUAAAUAACUUCCAAGAGGCUGAGACUCCUGGGGCCGUCUCUCCAAACCAGCCUCACCUUCCUCAGCAGCAUCCCCCUUUGCCACAUCACCCACAGCAGAGUGUUGUGAUCAAUGGAAAUGUUCACCCCCAUCAUGGUCACCAUCACCACCACCUUCAUCAUCACCAUCAUGGGCAUCCUCAUCCAUCGCAUCCCGGGGUGGGUAGUACACCAGCUUCUGGAGGACCACCCCCAAGUCCAUCAUUUAGAAAGCUGUCCACAACUGGAAGCUCUGACAAUGUUAUCACAACUGCACCAGUUUCUGCUGCAUCAUCCACUGGUACACCUACAGCUGCCCUGUCUAAUAUUCGCACUACAAGUACUGGCAAUAUAGGUGUAAGUCCUGUUACUGGAACUAGUACGUUAAGUAAUGUGGGUGGUGGUAGUCCUAGUAUGACAAGCAGCAUGCUUGGUAACGUUAAUAUAAACUUAAGCAACAUCACAAGUACUGCUAAUGUACAUGCUUUGUCUGGAACCAGCAGCAAUGUUAAUGUGAAUAUCUUGAGUGGUGUUGGCAAUGGUACGUGUGCUUCCUCUAAUGUCAUUAAUAAUGUUACUAAUCCAACUGCAGGAAUGGCAGUGGGAUCAAGUCAGCAGCAGCCUGCAGCUGGCACAUCAAGGUUUAGAGUUGUAAAAUUAGAUUCUAGUUCUGAACCUUUUAAAAAAGGUAGAUGGUUAUGCACUGAAUUCUAUGAUAAAGAAAACACUGUAGCAGUUACAGAAGGAGUAGCAGUAAACAAAGCGGUAGAGACUAUAAAACAAAAUCCACUUGAAGUGACUUCUGAAAGGGAGAGCACCAGUGGGAGUUCUGUUAGCAGCAAUGUAAGCACACUGAGUCACUACACAGAAAGUGUGGGAAGCGGGGAAAUGGGAGCACCUACUGUGAUACAACAGCAGACAUUUCAAGGUGUGGGUCCACAGCAGAUGGAUUUUAGUUGUGCUGGACCUCAGACUAUUCCAGCAUCCAAUAUACCGCAGAGUAUUUCUCAAUCACAGCUUGCACAAGUACAAUUGCCUUCUCAAGAAGUAAAUUAUCCACAGCAAAAGCAAGGAGUCCAGUCUUCAGCGCAGGCUACUCUACCAGCUGUUACUGGUGUUCAGCCAACUCCAGUUAAUGUAGUAGGUGUAUCAUUAGGUCACCAACAACCUGCUAUUCCAAGUGUGGCUCAACAGCAGCUACCAUAUUCUCAACCCUCACGAUCUGUGCAAACUUUGCCUGUUGUACCACAGCAGCAGUUACAGUAUGGACAACAACAGACACUUCCCAUGCAGAUGACCCCUGCACGAGUUAAAUCAGUGAAUCAGAGUUCUGUGACAGGGACCAUACCGGACUACAUACAACAUCAGCAGAUACUUCAACCUCCAGUGCCUGCUGUGCAAUCCAGCUCUACAGGAGUAGGAGCAGGAACACCGGUUCCUGUUGCUCAGGCACCAAGCAUCCAACCUUCUGUACAAGUACACCCUGCUGUGGCACCAGCUCAGCCUGUUGCACAUGCUCAGACAGCAAUGCCACCCGUAGGUACUAGUGGUCAAAUUAUUAACAUUGGACAACAAGGAAAUGUACCUGCUGUGGUACAGCAGCCACCUGUUGCAAACCAAAUUACACCUUCAGUUAUGCAGCAAAGUGCUGCUCCUCCAUCUUCACAAGUGGUGCAGCCUGUUCAGACUGGGAUAAUUCAGCAGGGACUACAAGCUGGUGCUUCAAGCCUUCCUCCGCAAAUGGUCAUUGCUUCACAAAAUGCUUUGUUACCUGUACAACCCCAGGCACAAGUAGAAACUGUAGUUCAAGGAAUGACCAGCCACCCAUUGCCUGCAGUUAGCCCUAUACCUUCUACUAGUACCGUUCCUGCUCCAAGUCAAGCUAGUUCAAAUGUACCUCUUGAUAUACCUUCUGCUCCUGUAAGUUUGGGUUCAUCACAGAACAUAGCACAAGCUUCAGCUGUGCAAAAUGGGAAUUUGAUUCAAAGUGUUAGUCAGCCUCCCUUGAUAUCAACUAGUAUAAGUAUGCCAGUGGCACAGAAUGUGCCACAGCAGAUACCGCUAAACUCUACCCAGUUCUCUGCACAAUCACUAACUCAGUCAAUUGUAAGCCAAAUUGAAGAUGGCAGGCGCCCUACAGAACCUUCCUUAGUUGGUUUACCGCAAGCUGCCAGUGGUGAAAGUGGUGUUGGAGCGUCAGCUGUUUCAGAUGGGAGUGGCAGCAACAUAACAUCCUCUGCUUCCCUUUUUCCACUGAAGGUACUGCCAUUGACAACGCAUCUUGUUGAUGGAGAGGAUGAGAGAAAUGACUUCUUCAGAGGCAGCAGCGAACAUUUUUCAAGGAAAUUUCUGGCACCCCUUUCCCUAGAGACUGAAAGCAUCCUUCAUGACAGUUGCUUUUAAUUCAAUGUGGAACACACCCCUCACCCUACAAGACUGUGGAACAGACUGUUCAAAGUAUUUCCCUGCUGAACUGACCACUUGAAAAAAACAUUGAGGGAUUCUUGAUCCUAACAGCUGGUCUUACAAUACAGAAUGACUGAGUCUAACAUUGCACACUGGUAUGCCUAUGAAGAGGCAUUACCAAAGUUAAUUAUGUCUAGUGCAAAUGCUGGGAGGUCUGACUGAGCAAAGCAGCUGACCCCCAAAGCAAAGGGAAGAAACCAACAGGAAAGAUGAUUGAAGAAAGGAAGAAGACAGAAUCCAAGAAAUAUCAGAGUGAGUCAGUUUCAGGCAGAAACUCUCAAGUUGCAGAGUCAAAAUGAGAUUUCCUUUGGGGAAGGAUCUGCUUCCAGGAUUUGCUCCUCCCUUGUUCCCUGGGUAGACACUGAAUUCUUGAACCCCCCCAUCAGUGUUGCAGGUAGGUAGAGUCCACUUGGGGAUUGCCGCUUGUAUUGCCUUCUCCUCAAGUGUGGAGGACUGACUUGGCUGGUCCUUUGCCCUUUCUUCUUUGUUGCCCACCUUUCUAGACUGAGAGGGGAAGAGCUUCUGGCUCAGCAGAUUUUUGUGAGAAAUAGGGAAGGCAUUUCUCUCCCCACCCACUUGGCUGUAGUUUUGGAAAGUUUCCUGUUGAGGGGUUUGUAUGUGCACCUCAUUGUCUCCAACCCCAACUCACAGUACUGUGUUGGGCUGUAGGCUCUCCUACUGCUCUUCCUCUCUCCCCUCUCUGCACAAAAGAGCUGAGAUACUAUGACUGUGGAAACCAUGUAGGCGGACCCAGACACACUUUUCUCUCAGCCAGGGAAAUCUGAUUUACUAGUUCUCGCAUCGCUGGAUUUUGCAAUUUCCCUGAUGCUUUGAUUUGCCUGUGUGACUACAAUGGAGCAGGGUGCCCGGGCAAGAACUCUCACCGAUCAAAGGGGAUGUUGCUGACCCUUCCCUGCAGCUAUGCCAAUGGCCCAGAGAAUGAUUUUAGUGUGAGAUUUUUUUUUUAAUGGGAGCUUAACUGUAAGCUCUCCCUCCUCACUUCACACCACAUGCUGCAGCAGCAGCUUCUCCCUCAGACUGCCCACUGCCAGACCUCCCCAUCUCCACCUGUGUCAUAGCUGAGGCAGACAGGCUAUUGUGGGUGUCCCCUGGCUGUAAACCACAGAGAUCAACCCUUCAAUGAGCAAUGGGAUUCUAAGAGGGCUUUUGGAGCCUCAAAGGUCCUGGCCCCUUUUCCCCCAGUCCUUCUUUCAUACUAAGAAAAUUCAACUAGAACUAUGUUGCACUCAAUACUCUACCCCAUGGAUCCAGUGGCUCUUCUCUCCCUCCUUGCUUCCCAAAAAUUGCUGCAUGAACUUUCAGCCCUUCAGUGCCAUGAGCCCUCAGUGGAAAGACCUUGAGGAGGGCCUUCUAGGAUUCCAGAUGAUGAGACUUUAUUCUUGAAUCUUGACCUUUCACAAGUAAGAUUUCCCUGAUACAAAUUGGGUUAUGGAAGAGGAGGUGGUGGUGUUUUUUUUGUUUUUUUGUUUUUUUCCAGAUCAUGCAGAAUCCUUAGAGCCAGAAUAUUAGCUGUCUUUGGGGUGGAAGCCCAGACAGAUUAUAGCUCCUAGGAAAUAAAUGUUCAUUCAGGAGACAUUCUGGUCUCCUGUAGUUCUUCGUUGAAGUGUUGUGCGGACUGUUUGUUUGAUCUGGCCCCUCUUACCUUGCUGACCCAGGGUUCAAGUAAAUACAUGGAUAAAGCUUGCAAGUCUCCAGCUGUACUACCGUGAGCAGAUCUUCAAAUCUCAAAUUAAGUGAAGUUGGGCCUCCUCAUCCUCUGCAUAGGCGACCUCAGGGGAAUCUGUGAAACCUGCUUCUCUUGUGCUCCAGACACUGCUGCUUUUAUAAGA